ACACUUCUGGACAAGAGCAAAUGUCACAUUGGCUGAUAUAGACCAACCACUAUGGUAUCUAUCAUGUGACAAUUGCAACAAAUCUACAAGUGUAGCUGUAAACGAAACUUAUUUUUGUAGAUUUUGCAAGCACAACUAUGCUACACCGACUCCAAGAGCAAGAGCAAUCGUUCAGUUACAGGACUACACAGGCUCAAUCAUAGCAUCAAUUAUUGGAAAACCAGCUGAAACAUUCCUCAAAUGCUCGGCAACAGAAUUGAUGAAACAAAGUUCUAAUGUAACUAUCUCAAAAUUUCAUUUUUUUGCCUACUAUUUUCUCUCCAAUAAAUAUACUAUUAAUUACUUCUAAUGAACAUUCCAACAGGAACAUAUGGAGAGUAGCUCUACAAUUCCAGCAACAACUCCACGUGAGCACAUCGUAUACAUCAAAGCUGGAAAUAUAGAGACAAUCACUAACAAGGCACCAUAUGAAGUCAUCUUCAUCCUUGACUCACACCUCCAAGAUGACAACCAGUUACCUGCCAACAUCACACAACCAAGCACUACACAUGAAGCUCCCAAACAUGCAGAUAAAAAACAGAAGCAAGAGUAGCUGUUGAAGACCUGAAAAUACAUAUUUUGUAUUUCUUUUGCACACUUGUGUCCACAAUCCAAUAGACCAGAUUCCCAGCAUCUCUAUCUGCCAUACUAAAUUUUGUUCAUUGUCCAUAUUAACAUAUUAGAAACCAUGUACCCAAAUACGGCAUGUAACAUCUCUGUGUAUGGCACCUAAGAACUCUGUUUUGUACUUCAUAUUACUAUUGCCAAUGUAACUACUUGUGGACACAUUUUAUAUAAUCUAAUGUAAUCAUCCUUCUAA
This is a long non-coding RNA of Olea europaea var. sylvestris, 859 nucleotides long. RefSeq lists it as uncharacterized. The transcript is spliced from 2 exons. The record is from RefSeq and is a predicted model, not a curated record. Lineage: Eukaryota; Viridiplantae; Streptophyta; Magnoliopsida; Lamiales; Oleaceae.